Cyanistes caeruleus (blue tit) is the source of this 1026-nucleotide non-coding RNA. The record is from RefSeq and is a predicted model, not a curated record. NCBI's taxonomy places the organism in Eukaryota, Metazoa, Chordata, Aves, Passeriformes, Paridae.
GAUGAAAAUCCAUAGAGUUGGCUGAAGUACAAAGCACAGAUUAGUGUCAGAACCUUUGAACGAAUUAAUUAACACACUGAUUUUGCUGUGAGGCAAAGCUACAAUUUUCCACCAGAGUCUGCAGCCCUGUUUCUAAUGUUGGGAGGGGAUGAGGCUUUGGAACAGCUGCUCCUGAGUCCAGGGAUAUUUGCCGUCUCCAAAUCUCAAGGAACAGCUCUGACAAAACUAUUGCCAUGGCGUGGGCAAGGAGAAUCCCAGGAUCACUGAGGCUGGAGAAGUUCUCCCAGCCCAUGGAGUCCCAGCUGUGCCCAAUGCCCACCGUGUCCCCAGCCCGGAGCGCUGAGUGCCACCUCCAGGAAUUCCUUGGACACCUCCAGGGAUGGGGAUUCCAAACCUCCCUGUUCCAAAUAUGUAUGAGGUAAAGGGAAUACUAAUGGUUAAUAUUCCUUUUUUCUUCUAAGUUGCUUUGUUGUGCAAAUUUAUGUCUGACUCUGAUUUCUGAUAGAAUAUUCACAAAACCAUAGAAUCAUUGAGGGUGCCAAAGACCUCCAAGAUCAUCAAAUCCAGCUUUUAACUUUGUUGUGACAAUGUGAACUUGACUUUCUGGGGGACGAAUGUUUCAAAAGCAUUAACUGUGCCCUAGGUGGAGCCUGGCAGCUCUGCCCCAGGUUAACCCCCCAGGCCAGAUUUAUCCACAGCACAUAAAUGAGCACAUGCUCAGCAAUUUUGAGCUAAAGACAGAAUGCUGUAAAACUACUGGGGCACAAAAAGAUUCUGGUUUGCAUUUCAAUCACAAAGAUUUAAAGAAAAAAAAUAUUUUAUUGUGCUUAAUGUGUUUAAAUAUUGAGUUCAAUCAGUCCUGCUUAUCCAACAGGAGUCUCUCAGGGUAUGAUGGAUAAAUGUCCUGACAUCCCAGGUGCUAUAUUUAACCUUCUGACAUGCCCAAUGGCUUUAACAAGCAUUGUAUCAUUGCAAAAGGACAUUUAAAUACAUAUUUGUGCCACUGUCUCUAUUUUUAACACACCA